UAAUAUACUUUGACUUUUUACAGGCUUAAUAAUGCUUCAGUGUGUGGUACUCCUCAAAACACGGGACAGCACACAAGGGAGUGUUGCAUGGCACACACAUGUGCUUGGUGAGGCGCCUCUGCUUGCCCUUGCGUGUGCUGGAGAGGCAGACCUUGCAGUGCCGCCUGGUCUUGCUGCCCUGGGAAGUGGUCUGAGGGACUUCAGAUGGGAAAUGCCUGGCUGUAAGGCGCAGAGGAGUGUCCAAGGCAGGACGCCCGCCUUUGGUUGGACCUCGCAAUGUGCUGUACUCCUCCAGCAGCCCUCUCAUCAGUAAUUUGCCGGUAGACGAUGUGGCUGUUGAGUAAAACCGUGUCGAGUACAUGAAAAAAUACUUUCUUGUACCACUUGGUAGACUUUCUGGUGCAUUCAUGAAAACCAGUCAUCAUAUCAGCUUUGUCAACUGCACCCAUCUUUUUGUUGUACUCCAGCACACAGACUGGCUUCAUCAUUGGUUGCCCAGUGAGGUGAUCCAGCUUGCCUGUGGCUGCCAUACCAGUUGGAUGGACUGUGGUGAACUUUGGCAUCCCUUUUCUGUGUCCGCGCACGGUCCCACAAGCUCCAGUGCCAAGUGACAAGAGGUGCUGGAAAAAUGGAAUGAACUGACGAAAUGCCAGCCUGCCUUUCCACUUCAUCAGAGACUCAUCCACACACAGAUCCCUGUAUGGCACAAAAAUGCGACGAAAAGAGGAGGAACUGGUGUCAUCUCUUCGUCUUCAAAGUUGUCCAGAGCUUCAAGAUUUGGGGGAAGAUCCUCAUCACUGUCACUCUCUGCCUCGCUGUCAAAAAUCUCCUCAUCAGAAUUAAAAAAAAUUUCCUCAAUU
Carassius auratus (goldfish) is the source of this 860-nucleotide long non-coding RNA. RefSeq lists it as uncharacterized. The record is from RefSeq and is a predicted model, not a curated record. The transcript has 5 exons. Lineage: Eukaryota; Metazoa; Chordata; Actinopteri; Cypriniformes; Cyprinidae.